GGAAAUUUGACACCACAUAAAAAGGUGCGUUAACGUCCCACCUAAGCUGGGGGGCUAGUAAUUGUUACUUACAUCAGAAAUUUAUAAUCACAUCCCAUCGUCUCCUUACAGGUCGAGAACCUACUACGUGAGGAUGUAUAUGAAUCAAUCAAUGCGCUGCUUGAUCGAAGACACUCCAUACCACAUCACCAAGGGUAACUAUACUUCUACUAGAAUUCAACACACAGAUAAUCUUAUUUACGAUUACUAACGUGACAAAAUAAUCCCACCAGCAGGCAGGAUUGCAUAGCAACUCGCAGCAACUCACGAAUUCAUUUCAUAUCUGGGAGCGCGAGAAAGAAAUAUCAACCCCCGUAGUAGGGUACGUGAAAGAGCAAUACACAUCACCAUAGCUUCAAUUACUACAUCAUCAAUACAAGCGAUUAAAUAGAUUCUCUUUUUCUCAAUUGUACUUGACAGGCACAGAGACACCAAAAGAAGUCAAUCUACCAUCCGCACAGUGAAACGACCAAGUACAAGGAAGACGUGGAAGAAGAACAAGUGUAGCACAAUCACUCAGAAGAAUUUUUAUUUUAUU
This 577-nucleotide long non-coding RNA is filed under the name Erythranthe guttata (spotted monkey flower). RNAcentral's name for it is "long non-coding RNA (EGUT_LNC001455)". Lineage: Eukaryota; Viridiplantae; Streptophyta; Magnoliopsida; Lamiales; Phrymaceae. The record is from RNAcentral.